AGUACUGAGUUAGCGCUCGUCCUCCCGCCGGUCCACCACCACCGAGUGUAGCCCGGGCCCGGCCUAUUUCCUCAGACACAGCCCCAGAGUCGAGAGCCACUCCUACCCCGGGAGCCCUUCGCCAAGCGCGCAGCUCCAGACCAGAAGCAGCCGCUCCGACCCAGAGCUCCGGGUGGGGCAGAAGAAUCUUUUCUUGCUGCUCUCCUAGGAUCUACCAACCAGAGAUUCUAAUGUGAUAUGUUUGGAAUGGAGUUAUCGAUCUGCAUUUUUAAUAGGCAUUCCUCCAGGCUUGGGUCCCAGCUCCAAAAUAUCUUAUUAUCUAUAUGUGAAUAUCCCCAAAUUUGAAAAAUUCAAAAUCUGAAACACUUCUGGUCCCAAGCAUUUCAGACUCCUAAGAGUUAAUAUGAAGUAGAAAGAGAAGUUGGAGUUAAGCAGCUCGUUCCAGUUCUGAUUUUGCCAUUUCCUGUCUGAGUGACCUGAGUAAGUUAUUUAAACUUCUUUGGCCCUCACUGCUUUCAUCAGGAAAAGAGGCUGUGGUGACAGUUAAAGAUGGUAAAAUGACAAAAUGGC
This 570-nucleotide non-coding RNA is filed under the name Pongo abelii (Sumatran orangutan). Lineage: Eukaryota; Metazoa; Chordata; Mammalia; Primates; Hominidae. The record is from RNAcentral.